RNAcentral lists this ribosomal RNA (496 nucleotides) under uncultured bacterium. RNAcentral's name for it is "partial 16S ribosomal RNA". It matches the Rfam family "Bacterial small subunit ribosomal RNA", at positions 29 to 507 of the family's 1533-position model. The record is from RNAcentral.
AUGAACGCUGGCGGCGUGCCUAAUACAUGCAAGUCGAGCGAACGGACGAGAAGCUUGCUUCUCUGAUGUUAGCGGCGGACGGGUUAGUAACACGUGGAUAACCUACCUAUAAGACUGGGAUAACUUCGGGAAACCGUAGCUAAUACCGGAUAAUAUUUUGAACCGCAUGGUUCAAAAGUGAAAGACGGUCUUGCUGUCACUUAUAGAUGGAUCCGCGCUGCAUUAGCUAGUUGGUAAGGUAACGGCUUACCAAGGCAACGAUGCAUAGCCGACCUGAGAGGGUGAUCGGCCACACUGGAACUGAGACACGGUCCAGACUCCUACGGGAGGCAGCAGUAGGGAAUCUUCCGCAAUGGGCGAAAGCCUGACGGAGCAACGCCGCGUGAGUGAUGAAGGUCUUCGGAUCGUAAAACUCUGUUAUUAGGGAAGAACAUAUGUGUAAGUAACUGUGCACAUCUUGACGGUACCUAAUCAGAAAGCCACGGCUAACUACGUG